UUACUUCGUGGAUGAGUUUUGUAAGUGUAAUGAAUUACGAAUAGGUUGGAUUAAAAAAACGAGCUUGAAAUUUCUUCUUCAAGUGUUUUGAAUUCAAAAUCGGGAAGCUUUUGAAUUUCUGCUGUGGAACAAUAUUUUUCUUGCCUGGUUGACAAAUUACCAAAGAAGUUGUUCGCGUGUAGCUGUGUUUAUGCACUCAAGUAUUAACUUACUUCGUAGGAAGCAUCCUGGAAUUUAGGGUGUCAGAUUUGAACAGAAAUGAUAUCGAAACUCGGAUCUGUGUUCAUUAAACAUGUCCUCAUUUGUCGAAGAGAACGUCUGAAGAACUUACAACCAACAAUAAUCUGGGCUGAAACACUGAAUAUCAACAUGCAACGAUGUCAGAUCUCUAACUCGCAUUAAUAAACACUUUUCUUAUCAACGUUCAUCGGAUGAUUUGAUUAAGGUUCAAAGGAAUCCAUCGUGACUCCCCAGGAGUAUUGCAUAACUUGCAAUGAAUCAAUAUUGAAGCAAUGAGUGGUAAUCUAAUUCCACUCAAAAAGUGAUCAACAGGAUCUUCUAUGGAUUAUUCUCAAAGAUGGACUUGGACAGUUGGCAUGUAAAAAAACGUGUUAAAUAAA
Molecule: long non-coding RNA, 620 nt
Organism: Uloborus diversus
Lineage: Eukaryota; Metazoa; Arthropoda; Arachnida; Araneae; Uloboridae
Exons: 3
Source: RefSeq, a predicted model, not a curated record